This 1342-nucleotide ribosomal RNA is filed under the name uncultured bacterium. RNAcentral describes it as "bacterial SSU rRNA". It matches the Rfam family "Bacterial small subunit ribosomal RNA". The record is from RNAcentral.
AGAGUUUGAUCCUGGCUCAGAACGUACGCUGGCGGCACGCCUAAUACAUGCAAGUCGAACGAAGUAGCAAUACUUAGUGGCAGACGGGUGAGUAACAUGUAGGUAUCUUCCCAUUGGUGAGGAAUAACACGAGGAAACUUGUGCUAAUACCUCAUAAGUCUUUACGGAGAAAGCUUUAUGCGCCGAUGGAUGAGCCUGCACUUGAUUAGUUUGUUGGUAGGGUAAUGGCCUACCAAGACAAUGAUCAAUAGCUGAUUUGAGAGGAUGAUCAGCCACAUUGGGACUGAGACACGGCCCAAACUCCUACGGGAGGCAGCAGUAGGGAAUCUUGCACAAUGGGGGGAACCCUGAUGCAGCGAUGCCGCGUGAGUGAAGAAGGCCUUUGGGUUGUAAAGCUCUUUCGUCGGGGAAGAAAAUGACUGUACCCGAAUAAGAAGGUCCGGCUAACUUCGUGCCAGCAGCCGCGGUAAUACGAAGGGACCUAGCGUAGUUCGGAAUUACUGGGCUUAAAGAGUUCGUAGGUGGUUAAAAAAGUUGGUGGUGAAAUCCCAGAGCUUAACUCUGGAACUGCCAUCAAAACUUUUUAGCUAGAGUAUGAUAGAGGAAAGCAGAAUUUCUAGUGUAGAGGUGAAAUUCGUAGAUAUUAGAAAGAAUACCAAUUGCGAAGGCAGCUUUCUGGAUCAUUACUGACACUGAGGAACGAAAGCAUGGGUAGCGAAGAGGAUUAGAUACCCUCGUAGUCCAUGCCGUAAACGAUGUGUGUUAGACGUUGGAAAUUUAUUUUCUGUGUCGCAGCGAAAGCAAUAAACACACCGCCUGGGGAGUACGACCGCAAGGUUAAAACUCAAAUGAAUUGACGGGGACCCGCACAAGUAGUGGAGCAUGUGGUUUAAUUCGAAGAUACGCGCAGAACCUUACCAACACUUGACAUGUUCGUCGCGACUUUAAGAGAUUAAAGUUUUCGGUUCGGCCGGACGAAACACAGGUGCUGCAUGGCUGUCGUCAGCUCGUGUCGUGAGAUGUUGGGUUAAGUCCCGCAACGAGCGCAACCCUCACUUUUAGUUGCCAUCAUUAAGUUGGGCACUCUGAAAGAACUGCCAGUGAUAAGCUGGAGGAAGGUGGGGAUGACGUCAAGUCCUCAUGGCCCUUACGUGUUGGGCUACACACGUGCUACAAUGGCAUUUACAAUAGGAAGCAAAACGGCGACGUUAAGCAAAUCCUAAAAAAAUGCCUCAGUUCGGAUUGUACUCUGCAACUCGAGUACAUGAAGCUGGAAUUACUAGUAAUCGCGGAUCAGCGCGCCGCGGUGAAUACGUUCCCGGGUCUUGUACACACCGCCCGU